RNAcentral lists this ribosomal RNA (524 nucleotides) under uncultured bacterium. Its description in RNAcentral is "bacterial SSU rRNA". It matches the Rfam family "Bacterial small subunit ribosomal RNA", at positions 355 to 896 of the family's 1533-position model. The record is from RNAcentral.
UGGGGAAUUUUGCGCAAUGGGGGAAACCCUGACGCAGCAACGCCGCGUGGAGGAUGAAAUAUCUUGGUAUGUAAACUCCUUUCGAUGGGGAAGAUUAUGACGGUACCCAUAGAAGAAGCCCCGGCUAACUUCGUGCCAGCAGCCGCGGUAAUACGAGGGGGGCAAGCGUUGUUCGGAUUUAUUGGGCGUAAAGGGUGCGUAGGCGGUUUGGCAAGUCUUAUGUGAAAUCUUCGGGCUCAACCCGAAGCCUGCAUAAGAAACUGCCGGGCUUGAGUAUGGGAGAGGUGAGUGGAAUUUCCGGUGUAGCGGUGAAAUGCGUAGAUAUCGGAAGGAACACCUGUGGCGAAAGCGGCUCACUGGACCAUAACUGACGCUGAUGCACGAAAGCUAGGGGAGCAAACAGGAUUAGAUACCCUGGUAGUCCACGCCAUAAACGAUGACAACUAGAUGUUGGGAGGGUCUGCCUCUCGGUGUCGCAGCUAACGCGUUAAGUUGUCCGCCUGGGGAGUACGGCCGCAAGGUUG